UACGAAGGGGGCUAGCGUUGCUCGGAAUCACUGGGCGUAAAGCGCACGUAGGCGGAUCUUUAAGUCAGAGGUGAAAUCCCAAGGCUCAACCUUGGAACUGCCUUUGAUACUGGGGAUCUCGAGUCCGGAAGAGGUGAGUGGAACUGCGAGUGUAGAGGUGAAAUUCGUAGAUAUUCGCAAGAACACCAGUGGCGAAGGCGGCUCACUGGCCCGAUACUGACGCUGAGGUGCGAAAGCGUGGGGAGCAAACAGG
RNAcentral lists this ribosomal RNA (253 nucleotides) under uncultured bacterium. Its description in RNAcentral is "partial 16S ribosomal RNA". It matches the Rfam family "Bacterial small subunit ribosomal RNA", at positions 524 to 776 of the family's 1533-position model. The record is from RNAcentral.